This 525-nucleotide ribosomal RNA is filed under the name uncultured bacterium. RNAcentral describes it as "partial 16S ribosomal RNA". The record is from RNAcentral.
AGUGAUUCGUUACCUUCUUUACGACUUAACCCCCAAUCAUCGGUCCUACCUUACACAGCUCCCUGGACUAGUCCUUAAGCCACCGGCUUCGGGUAUUACCAACUCUCAUGGUUUGACGGGCGUUUUGUACAAGCCCCGAGAACGUAUUCACCCCGACAUGCUGAUUCUCGAUUACUACGAUUCCAACUUCAUGAGGUCGAGUUGCAGACCUCAAUCCGAACUGAGACGUAUUUUAUAAGUUUUGCUCCACCUUACGGUAUUGCCUCUUGCUGUAUACGCCAUUGUAGUACGUGUGUAGCCCAGGCCAUAAAGGGCAUGAUGAUUUGACUUCAUCCCCACCUUCCUCCGGUUUGUCACCGGCAGUCUCUCUAGAGUCCCCAACUUAAUGAUGUAACUAAAGACAAGGGUUCGCUCGUUGCGGGACUUAACCCAACAUCUCACACACGAGCUGACGACAACCAUGCACCACCUCUCACCCUGAUAACCUCUGCCAUAUCUCUAUGGUUUUUGCCGGGGUGUCGGGCC